Molecule: ribosomal RNA, 253 nt
Filed under: uncultured bacterium
Lineage: Bacteria
Description: partial 16S ribosomal RNA
Rfam family: Bacterial small subunit ribosomal RNA
Source: RNAcentral
UACAGAGGGGGCGAGCGUUGUUCGGAAUUACUGGGCGUAAAGGGCGCGUAGGCGGCCCGCUAAGUCGAACGUGAAAUCCCCAGGCUCAACCUGGGAACUGCGUCCGAUACUGGCAGGCUUGAAUCCGGGAGAGGGAUGUGGAAUUCCAGGUGUAGCGGUGAAAUGCGUAGAUAUCUGGAGGAACACCGGUGGCGAAGGCGGCGUUCUGGACUGCAACUGACACUGAACGACGAAAGCCAGGGGAGCAAACGGG